AUCCCUUCGGGGUGACGAUGAUUCAGCUUAGUGGCGGACGGGUGAGUAACGCGUGAGCAACCUGCCUUUCAGUGGGGGACAACAGUUGGAAACGACUGCUAAUACCGCAUAAUAUCCUUUUGGGGCAUCCCUUUUGGAUCAAAGAUUUAUUGCUGAAAGAUGGGCUCGCGUCUGAUUAGCUAGUUGGUGGGGUAACGGCCCACCAAGGCGACGAUCAGUAGCCGGACUGAGAGGUUGAACGGCCACAUUGGGACUGAGACACGGCCCAGACUCC
Molecule: ribosomal RNA, 274 nt
Filed under: uncultured Eubacteriales bacterium
Lineage: Bacteria; Bacillati; Bacillota; Clostridia; Eubacteriales
Description: uncultured Clostridiales bacterium partial 16S ribosomal RNA
Rfam family: Bacterial small subunit ribosomal RNA
Source: RNAcentral